AGCGAGAACUGGAUAAGGAUAGUGACACAAUUGCAAACAUAGCCACAAAUAAGCCUUUAAAAAAAUGGACAAGUCACAUCUGACACACAUACAUGGUGAUUCUUUAGUUGUUUUGUUUUUUGUUUUUAAAAAGGGCUUUUGUGUCAUGUUUUUAAAAUCGAUGUGCUUUGUGUAUGCAUUAAUAUAAUGAAUGUAUACUAGAGGGUUGAGUUAUGUUGAUGGACCACCACUAAAUUAUUCUGAAUCCACAUUGAAAGUGUUAUUUUAGGCUUUUCUCACACAUCGUGUAUGCCUGUGUGCAGUUGUAACAGCCAUCUUUAGAAUAAGAUGUCUUCAGCAAUCAGUCUUGUUGAAGUGGACAUCGCACAAUUUUUGAUUGAAGGGUCACUUUAUACAUCGGAGGGCCUGCUCUUAUUUCACAUAGUCAACAGUGCAGUCACUCUGAUUUCCAUCAUGUACUUGUUGUUUGCAGCUUAUCUCAUUUUAUUCUGUCUUUGCACAAAUGUUCUGUGUUUCUGUUCAGCUAUCAUAUUGAUUCUGGCUUGUUUACUGAUUUUCCAACACUAAGACUUUACUGUCACACUGAGCUAAGAAGACGUGGACUUUGUGGAUUUAAUGCAGUGUGUGUAUUUGUAUGAAUGUGAGAGUGAUGAGUAUAUCUGGUUGUGCUUUUUAUACUCCACACUGUGAGAGGUGUCAUUGCGUUACAGUGAAGUUGAUCAGUUAGAUGAAAUGGACAUACCUUUUUAUGUUUUUUUUGUUUUUUUUUCUUACUCUCUAAAUGUCUAAUCUUUUCAUUUCACCGACUGACUUCCUCCAUAUUUUUGUACUCCCCUGCUCCUUCUUCUUGUCUUCUUCUCAACAUACUUUCUUCCUUCUUAGCCCCUGAUGGAUUCUCACCUCCAACUCUAUCCCAUGCAACUAAUGCCAGUCUGAACGUGUCCUGGUCCGCCCCUGUCAACUCUAAUGCACCAGGCCCACUCUACUACAGUCUGCAAAUGAGGACAUCCCCACAGAGGCCUAUCAUAAGGUGAGAGACACCAUAAAAUGCAGAGUCAAAGCAGAUGGACAAGUUUGCAAACCGUUUUCCACAAUGCAUAAAAGUUUUCUGAGAAGAGUAGCAAUAAAGUAACUGGACACACACACACAACAAAGUACACAUAUUACAUACUCUAAAUAUCAGAAAAUGUGCAUGUGCACAUAGCCUACACAUGCACAUAUAAAGGAGCACAUUAUACAGCACAACUGUGAAUAUGUCACUUCAGUAGGACAUAACAUCAGAAAUCC
Molecule: long non-coding RNA, 1287 nt
Organism: Astatotilapia calliptera (eastern happy)
Lineage: Eukaryota; Metazoa; Chordata; Actinopteri; Cichliformes; Cichlidae
Source: Ensembl